This 253-nucleotide ribosomal RNA is filed under the name uncultured bacterium. RNAcentral describes it as "partial 16S ribosomal RNA". It matches the Rfam family "Bacterial small subunit ribosomal RNA", at positions 524 to 776 of the family's 1533-position model. The record is from RNAcentral.
UACGAAGGGGGCUAGCGUUGCUCGGAAUCACUGGGCGUAAAGGGUGCGUAGGCGGGUCUUUAAGUCAGGGAUGAAAUCCUGGAGCUCAACUCCAGAACUGCCUUUGAUACUGAAGAUCUUGAGUCCGGGAGAGGUGAGUGGAACUGCGAGUGUAGAGGUGAAAUUCGUAGAUAUUCGCAAGAACACCAGUGGCGAAGGCGGCUCACUGGCCCGGUACUGACGCUGAGGCACGAAAGCGUGGGGAGCAAACAGG